RNAcentral lists this ribosomal RNA (440 nucleotides) under uncultured bacterium. Its description in RNAcentral is "partial 16S ribosomal RNA". It matches the Rfam family "Bacterial small subunit ribosomal RNA", at positions 338 to 795 of the family's 1533-position model. The record is from RNAcentral.
CCUACGGGUGGCUGCAGUGGGGAAUAUUGCACAAUGGGGGGAACCCUGAUGCAGCGACGCCGCGUGAGCGAUGAAGUAUUUCGGUAUGUAAAGCUCUAUCAGCAGGGAAGAAAAUUACGGUACCUGACUAAGAAGCCCCGGCUAACUCCGUGCCAGCAGCCGCGGUAAUACGGAGGGCGCAAGCGUUAUCCGGAUUUACUGGGGGUAAAGGGAGCAUAGACGGCUGUGCAAGUCUGGAGUGAAAGGCAUGGGCUCAACCUGGGGACUGCUUUGGAAACUGUGCGGCUUGAGUGACGGAGAGGCAAGUGGAAUUCCUAGUGUAGCGGUGAAAUGCGUAGAUAUUAGGAGGAACACUAGUGGCGAAGGCGGCUUGCUGGACGAUGACUGACGUUGAGGCUCGAAAGCGAGGGGAGCAAACGGGAUUAGAUACCCUAGUAGUC